UACGUAGGGUGCAAGCGUUAAUCGGAAUUACUGGGCGUAAAGCGUGCGCAGGCGGUUUGCUAAGAGAGAUGUGAAAUCCCCGGGCUUAACCUGGGAACUGCGUUUCUAACUGGCAGGCUUGAGUGUGGCAGAGGGGGGUGGAAUUCCACGUGUAGCAGUGGAAAUGCGUAGAGAUGUGGAGGAACACCGAUGGCGAAGGCAGCCCCCUGGGUCAAGAUUGACGCUCAUGCA
This 231-nucleotide ribosomal RNA is filed under the name uncultured bacterium. RNAcentral describes it as "partial 16S ribosomal RNA". It matches the Rfam family "Bacterial small subunit ribosomal RNA", at positions 524 to 753 of the family's 1533-position model. The record is from RNAcentral.